Molecule: unclassified non-coding RNA, 290 nt
Filed under: Peniophorella sp.
Lineage: Eukaryota; Fungi; Basidiomycota; Agaricomycetes; Hymenochaetales
Description: partial contains small subunit ribosomal RNA, internal transcribed spacer 1, and 5.8S ribosomal RNA
Rfam family: Eukaryotic small subunit ribosomal RNA (bases 1-46)
Source: RNAcentral
AAGUCGUAACAAGGUUUCCGUAGGUGAACCUGCGGAAGGAUCAUUAACGAGUCUUUGAAGUGGGUUUGACGCUGGCCGUCUCAGGCAUGUGCUCGCCCCGCUCCAUUCCACUCAACCCCUGUGCACUUCAUGUUCGAAGAUGUGACUUCCCCCGUGAGGGGAGCAGCUCGGGAGACCGAGGCGGAGUCGCUCUUUGGGCACACACAAACUCUUAUGUAUCUGAAUGUAUACAAGGCCUACGGGCCCUAAACUAAACAAUACAACUUUCAACAACGGAUCUCUUGGCUCUC